CGAACGAUGAAGCCCUUCGGGGUGGAUUAGUGGCGAACGGGUGAGUAACACGUGGGCAAUCUGCCCUUCACUCUGGGACAAGCCCUGGAAACGGGGUCUAAUACCGGAUAACACUCUGUCCCGCAUGGGACGGGGUUAAAAGCUCCGGCGGUGAAGGAUGAGCCCGCGGCCUAUCAGCUUGUUGGUGGGGUAAUGGCCUACCAAGGCGACGACGGGUAGCCGGCCUGAGAGGGCGACCGGCCACACUGGGACUGAGACACGGCCCAGACUCCUACGGGAGGCAGCAGUGGGGAAUAUUGCACAAUGGGCGAAAGCCUGAUGCAGCGACGCCGCGUGAGGGAUGACGGCCUUCGGGUUGUAAACCUCUUUCAGCAGGGAAGAAGCGAAAGUGACGGUACCUGCAGAAGAAGCGCCGGCUAACUACGUGCCAGCAGCCGCGGUAAUACGGAGGGUGCAA
Molecule: ribosomal RNA, 457 nt
Filed under: Streptomyces sp.
Lineage: Bacteria; Bacillati; Actinomycetota; Actinomycetes; Kitasatosporales; Streptomycetaceae
Description: bacterial SSU rRNA
Rfam family: Bacterial small subunit ribosomal RNA
Source: RNAcentral